CGCGUGUACUGGUCCGGCCGGGCCUUUCCCUCUGUGGAACCCCAUGCCCUUCACUGGGUGUGGCGGGGAAACAGGACUUUUACUGUGAAAAAAUUAGAGUGCUCCAGGCAGGCCUAUGCUCGAAUACAUUAGCAUGGAAUAAUAGAAUAGGACGUGUGGUUCUAUUUUGUUGGUUUCUAGGACCGCCGUAAUGAUUAAUAGGGACAGUCGGGGGCAUCAGUAUUCAAUUGUCAGAGGUGAAAUUCUUGGAUUUAUUGAAGACUAACUACUGCGAAAGCAUUUGCCAAGGAUGUUUUCAUUAAUCAGGAACGAAAGUUAGGGGAUCGAAGACGAUCAGAUACCGUCGUAGUCUUAACCAUAAACUAUGCCGACUAGGGAUCGGACGAUGUUAUAUUUUGACCCGUUCGGCACCUUACGAGAAAUCAAAGUGCUUGGGCUCCAGGGGGAGUAUGGUCGCAAGGCUGAAACUUAAAGAAAUUGACGGAAGGGCACCACCAGGGGUGGAGCCUGCGGCUUAAUUUGACUCAACACGGGGAAACUCACCAGGUCCAGACACAAUGAGGAUUGACAGAUUGAGAGCUCUUUCUUGAUUUUGUGGGUGGUGGUGCAUGGCCGUUCUUAGUUGGUGGAGUGAUUUGUCUGCUUAAUUGCGAUAACGAACGAGACCUUAACCUGCUAAAUAGCCCGUAUUGCUUUGGCAGUACGCUGGCUUCUUAGAGGGACUAUCGG
RNAcentral lists this ribosomal RNA (729 nucleotides) under uncultured eukaryote. RNAcentral describes it as "SSU rRNA". It matches the Rfam family "Eukaryotic small subunit ribosomal RNA", at positions 670 to 1426 of the family's 1831-position model. The record is from RNAcentral.